This 545-nucleotide ribosomal RNA is filed under the name Ditylum brightwellii. Its description in RNAcentral is "partial Bacterial large subunit ribosomal RNA". It matches the Rfam family "Bacterial large subunit ribosomal RNA", at positions 1133 to 1686 of the family's 2925-position model. Lineage: Eukaryota; Bacillariophyta; Thalassiosirophyceae; Lithodesmiales; Lithodesmiaceae. The record is from RNAcentral.
CUUAAUAGCUCACUGGUCGAGUGAUCCUGCGCCGAAAAUUUCCGGGGCUAAAACGUACUACCGAAGCUACGGCAUCAUUUAUGAUGGGUAGGGGAGCUUCGUAUGCAGGCUGAAGCAUGACCGUAAGGACAUGUGGACAGUAUACGAGUGAGAAUGUUGGCAUGAGUAGCGAGACGUGGGUGAGAAUCCCACGGGCCGUAAACCCAAGGUUUCCAGGGGAAGGUUCGUCCGCCCUGGGUUAGUCGGGACCUAAGCCGAGGCCGAAAGGCGUAGGUGAUGGACAACAGGUUGAUAUUCCUGUACCGCCAAUAAGCGUUUGAGAGAUGGAGUGACACAGUAGGAUAAGCUAACCGUACUGUUGGUUAUGUACGGCUAAGCAUUGAGGCAGUCUAAAUAGGCAAAUCCGUUUAGACAAUGCUAGGAUAUGAUGGGUAAGCCCUUCGGGGCGAAGUAGCUGAUUUCACACUGUCAAGAAAAGCUUCUAUCGAGUUUAAAGGCGCCCGUACCGUAAACCGACACAGGUGGGUGAGGAGAGUAUCCUAAGG